Molecule: ribosomal RNA, 510 nt
Filed under: uncultured bacterium
Lineage: Bacteria
Description: partial 16S ribosomal RNA
Rfam family: Bacterial small subunit ribosomal RNA
Source: RNAcentral
GACGAACGCUGGCGGCGUGCUUAACACAUGCAAGUCGAACGAAGAGCGAUGGACGCUUGCUUCUAUCAAUCUUAGUGGCGAACGGGUGAGUAACGCGUAAUCAACCUGCCCUUCAGAGGGGGACAACAGUUGGAAACGACUGCUAAUACCGCAUACGAUCUAAUCUCGGCAUCGAGGAUAGAUGAAAGGUGGCCUCUACAUGUAAGCUAUCACUGAAGGAGGGGAUUGCGCCUGAUUAGCUAGUUGGAGGGGUAACGGCCCACCAAGGCGAUGAUCAGUAGCCGGUCUGAGAGGAUGAACGGCCACAUUGGGACUGAGACACGGCCCAGACUCCUACGGGAGGCAGCAGUGGGGAAUCUUCCGCAAUGGACGAAAGUCUGACGGAGCAACGCCGCGUGAGUGAGGGCGGCCUUCGGGUUGUAAAGCUCUGUUAAUCGGGACGAAAGGCCUUCUUGCGAAUAGUGAGAAGGAUUGACGGUACCGGAAUAGAAAGCCACGGCUAACUACGUG